UACAGAGGGUGCGAACGUUGCUCGGAAUUACUGGGCGUAAAGCGCGCGUAGGCGGCUUCGUAAGUCGGGUGUGAAAGCCCCGGGCUCAACCUGGGAACGGCACUCGAUACUGCGGAGCUCGAGUACGAGAGAGGGGGGUGGAAUUCCAGGUGUAGCGGUGAAAUGCGUAGAGAUCUGGAGGAACACCGGUGGCGAAGGCGGCCCCCUGGUUCGAUACUGACGCUGAGGUGCGAAAGCGUGGGGAGCGAACAGG
This 253-nucleotide ribosomal RNA is filed under the name uncultured bacterium. RNAcentral describes it as "partial 16S ribosomal RNA". It matches the Rfam family "Bacterial small subunit ribosomal RNA", at positions 524 to 776 of the family's 1533-position model. The record is from RNAcentral.